This 253-nucleotide ribosomal RNA is filed under the name uncultured bacterium. Its description in RNAcentral is "partial 16S ribosomal RNA". It matches the Rfam family "Bacterial small subunit ribosomal RNA", at positions 524 to 776 of the family's 1533-position model. The record is from RNAcentral.
UACGAAGGGGGCUAGCGUUGUUCGGAAUCACUGGGCGUAAAGCGCGUGUAGGCGGCCCGGUAAGUCCGCUGUGAAAGUCCAGGGCUCAACCCUGGGAUGCCGGUGGAUACUGUCGGGCUCGAGUCCGGAAGAGGCGAGUGGAAUUCCUGGUGUAGCGGUGAAAUGCGCAGAUAUCAGGAGGAACACCAAUGGCGAAGGCAGCUCGCUGGGACGUGACUGACGCUGAGACGCGAAAGCGUGGGGAGCAAACAGG